This 500-nucleotide ribosomal RNA is filed under the name uncultured bacterium. RNAcentral describes it as "partial 16S ribosomal RNA". It matches the Rfam family "Bacterial small subunit ribosomal RNA", at positions 355 to 846 of the family's 1533-position model. The record is from RNAcentral.
UGGGGAAUUUUGGACAAUGGGGGAAACCCUGAUCCAGCCAUCCCGCGUGUGCGAUGAAGGCCUUCGGGUUGUAAAGCACUUUUGGCAGGAAAGAAACGUCGCGGGUUAAUACCCCCGCGAAACUGACGGUACCUGCAGAAUAAGCACCGGCUAACUACGUGCCAGCAGCCGCGGUAAUACGUAGGGUGCAAGCGUUAAUCGGAAUUACUGGGCGUAAAGCGUGCGCAGGCGGUUCGGAAAGAAAGAUGUGAAAUCCCAGAGCUUAACUUUGGAACUGCAUUUUUAACUACCGGGCUAGAGUGUGUCAGAGGGAGGUGGAAUUCCGCGUGUAGCAGUGAAAUGCGUAGAUAUGCGGAGGAACACCGAUGGCGAAGGCAGCCUCCUGGGAUACAACAUGCUGCUCAUGCACGAAAGCGUGGGGAGCAAACAGGAUUNGAUACCCUGGGUAGUCCACGCCCUAAACGAUGUCAACUAGCUGUUGGGGCCUUCGGCCUUGGUAG